Molecule: ribosomal RNA, 245 nt
Filed under: uncultured bacterium
Lineage: Bacteria
Description: partial 16S ribosomal RNA
Rfam family: Bacterial small subunit ribosomal RNA
Source: RNAcentral
UACAGAGGUCCCGAGCGUUGUUCGGAUUCACUGGGCGUAAAGGGUGCGUAGGUGGUCGGGUAAGUCUGAUGUGAAAUCUCGGAGCUCAACUCCGAAACGGCAUUGGAUACUAUCCGGCUUGAGGAUCGGAGGGGGGACUGGAAUUCUUGGUGUAGCAGUGAAAUGCGUAGAUAUCAAGAGGAACACCAGUGGCGAAGGCGAGUCCCUGGACGAGACCUGACACUGAGGCACGAAAGCUAGGGGAG